ACCGUGUGUACCUUUGUCAGCUCAUGCACUGGAGCCCCUUCGUAUGCACCUGAUAUUUGCACUGCCAGCUGGACGGAAGCCUUUUCUUCUCUGGUAGUAUCCCCGGUCCACUUGAGACACAAUGGCCGUGACGUUCCGAUCAGCCCUAAUUCGUCCAUCAGGCUAUGAUCGAUGAAGGUCGAUGACGAACCUUCGUCGAGAAAGGCGUACGUUCGAACCGUCCUGCCAUCCUUCCCAUACAUAGUUACCGAGAACCAUGUAGCAACCUAUGGUGCAUUGCCUCGCACCCAUUGGAUCCGCAAACUGUUUUAAGCGACGGUCAUCGUUUGGAAUCGCUGGCAUGUAUCCAGUGCGGCACACUCUCCCUGGCAGGCUGAACAUUUAGAAACAUUUGUA
This is a long non-coding RNA of Anopheles moucheti, 396 nucleotides long. RefSeq lists it as uncharacterized. NCBI's taxonomy places the organism in Eukaryota, Metazoa, Arthropoda, Insecta, Diptera, Culicidae. The transcript has 3 exons. The record is from RefSeq and is a predicted model, not a curated record.